Molecule: long non-coding RNA, 757 nt
Organism: Meriones unguiculatus (Mongolian gerbil)
Lineage: Eukaryota; Metazoa; Chordata; Mammalia; Rodentia; Muridae
Exons: 3
Source: RefSeq, a predicted model, not a curated record
ACAUGCCUGACUGAGAAGGGCUGAAUACCGAAAGAAAAUGCAUUCUCUGGGCUGUGACAUUACUGAGGAUACUGACAUAUCCUUAUGGUGAUGGAGUUCUCUAUGGACUUGGCAAGUUCCUCAUAAGGAACUCAGAAGGAAGAAGAGGGGAACGUGGAGGAGAGGAGCAAGGAUGGCGUAAGGACCCACUCUGCCUACAAUGACAGUAUUUAUGAAAGCAGCUGGAAGGAAAAAAAAAAGAGGGUAGUGGGUGAGACACAGGCUCAAAAAUCCUUAAUCCAAAGAUGAGGAAACUGAGGUUUACUGAGGAAAGGACCCCUGCCUCCAUUAAGAACCUUUCUGGUCUGGGAGAUCAGGACACCGUGCUUGCUGCCAAGCCUGAUCACCUGACUUCCAUCCUUGGGCCCACACAGUGGAAGGAGAAGAAUCAACUUCAGACAUCCAUGGACUGAUUUUCACAAUAAUGCAAUAGCAGGCUCUCAAGCACACAAAUAAACAUUUAAGAGAGAAAAACAAAUUCCUCUUCAGAAAAGGCUCUCUGCUCUCUCUCCUUCAGGUAUACCGUACCUGCCCUUUCAGGGUUCAAAAACAGUCUAGUCACCUAAGAGUGACCACCCUUCCUCCAGGUACAAAGGGGCUCUCCCCUGGGGCUGCAAUAGACCGAUUUAUUGUAUUCACCCAACUUGGUUGCAAAUGCAUGCCAAUAAUCCUUCAGAGGGAAACUGCUUCAGAACAAUUCCAGCCUGUGUUUCCCCAG